This 434-nucleotide ribosomal RNA is filed under the name uncultured Ruminococcus sp. RNAcentral describes it as "partial 16S ribosomal RNA". It matches the Rfam family "Bacterial small subunit ribosomal RNA", at positions 341 to 792 of the family's 1533-position model. The record is from RNAcentral. Lineage: Bacteria; Bacillati; Bacillota; Clostridia; Eubacteriales; Oscillospiraceae.
ACGGAAGGCAGCAGUGGGGAAUAUUGCACAAUGGGCGAAAGCCUGAUGCAGCGAUGCCGCGUGAGGGAAGAAGGUUUUCGGAUUGUAAACCUCUGUCCUCAGGGACGAUAAUGACGGUACCUGAGGAGGAAGCUCCGGCUAACUACGUGCCAGCAGCCGCGGUAAUACGUAGGGAGCGAGCGUUGUCCGGAAUUACUGGGUGUAAAGGGCGCGUAGGCGGGACGGCAAGUCAGAUGUGAAAUGUAUGGGCUUAACCCAUAACCUGCAUUUGAAACUGUUGUUCUUGAGUGAGGUAGAGGUAAGCGGAAUUCCUAGUGUAGCGGUGAAAUGCGUAGAUAUUAGGAGGAACAUCGGUGGCGAAGGCGGCUUACUGGGCCUUUACUGACGCUGAGGCACGAAAGCGUGGGGAGCAAACAGGAUUAGAUACCCUGGUA